GUUGGAGAACUAUUUCGAAAAUAUAUUGGCCAGUUUUGCGCGUUAGUGCCUAAUAAUUGAGGCUUCUUCCUGAGUAGUGGGGGCUGUCGUCGACCGGUGGUCGGUGACUAAACUCCGUAUCCAAGCAACCAAAAAUUAUCAAGCUAUUACGAUUUUUUAACCCAAAAUUCACUAACUUUAGAGACCUUAAUCGACCUGGAAGUUUGACUCCAAACAGUAUGUAAACAAUUCACAUUUCACAGUCUGUAUUUGAAUUUUCAAGGUCAGUAAUGGCGUCUUCGGAGUUAAAAGAUGGUUCCAGAAGGGUGGAGGAAGCCGAUGAUGAAGGAAACUCGAAGAAGGUAGAUUCUGGCGAGAUCAAGCACAGUGAUGGUGAGAAGAUGAAGAAGAAGAGUAAAAGAAUUUCUUAUAGCAUGCUUAAUUUUGGGUGUUUUGGUGUAAAAUCUGAAUCGGACGGGAAAGGGAAUUUGGAUAUUGAGAUUGAAGACGAGUUACGGAGAAGGAACCCUACUCACUUGGUCAUAAUGGUAAAUGGUCUUAUUGGCAGUGCUCAGAAUUGGAAGUUUGCUGCUAAACAGAUUUUGAAAAAGUUCCCAGAUGAUAUUGUUGUUCACUGCAGUGAAUCUAAUUCUUCAAUGUUGACGUUUGAUGGUGUUGAUGUAAUGGGAAAGAGAUUGGCAGAAGAGGUUAUAUCUACGGUAAAGCGCUACCCAGGUGCUCAAAAGAUUUCAUUUAUUGGCCAUUCAUUAGGUGGCCUGAUAGCAAGAUAUGCCAUUGCUAGGCUUUAUGAACAAGAUAUCACAGUAGAACCAUCUCAGGUAGAUGGAGAUUGCAGACCUGAUAGCUCUUCUAAAGAUUCACGAGAAGAAAAUAAAUUCAAAGGGAAAAUUGCUGGAUUGAAGCCCAUUAAUUUCAUAACCUCCGCAACUCCUCACCUUGGUUCAUGGGGGCAUAAACAGGUUCCAGUUUUUUGUGGCCUUUACACUAUGGAAAAAGUAGCAUCUCGUACAUCUUGGUUUCUUGGUAAAAGUGGGAGACAUUUGUUUCUGACUGACUGUGAUAAUGGGAAACCUCCCCUUCUUCUUCGGAUGGCCAGUGACACUGAAAAUCUUAAAUUUAUUUCUGCAUUAGGAUCCUUCAAGCGUCGUGUUGCCUAUGCAAAUGUGCGUUUUGACCACCUUGUCGGUUGGAGUACAUCAUCUCUAAGGCGUCAAAAUGAACUCCCAGAGCUCAAAAGGCUGUCACGAGACAGUAAAUAUCCACAUAUUGUUAAUAAGGAGACAGCAAGAACUGCCAGUCCUGAGGAUGAAGCGCCAAUUGAGCUCAAAGUUGGCAAUGGAGGCAAGAAUGUUAACAUGGAAGAGGAAAUGUUAAAGGGUUUGACAAAACUGAGCUGGGAAAGAAUUGAUGUGAGCUUUAGCGGGAGUAGACAAAGAUUUCUUGCGCACAAUACCAUUCAGGUGAAAGGAUCGUGGAUAAAUUCUGACGGAGCUGAUGUGAUUGACCACAUGGUUGAAAAUUUUCUUGUGUAAGCGGGUGUUGUUAUGCAAUGAUCUAAAGUUAGUGGAGUUGCCCCUAAAUCCAAAUUCAGCCUGGGGAAGAAUACAAUAUUGAGGCAGCAUUUUGUCAUCUGAGUUGGUGACCUCCAUUUAAAUCAGAAGAUGAAGCUUGGUUACAUGGUUGUCUCUUGUUAAGCUAAAGAAGCAUCAUCAUCCAAGGCUACUCGAACCUCAUAACUUGGCUUAUCGUCAACUGGAGUUGAAAAUGAUGAUCUUGGGUUGUCGGAUGGCAACGGUCCCUGAAUUGAAGAAGACGAUUCUUGGGCUGUCGUCAUUGGGAAGCUUACUUGUCGUCGGCCAACGAAGAAGACGCAGCUUGUAGUACAAGUUGCAGAAACAAAAAGGCUACUCCUGGUAUCAUGCCAUACAUGUUUGACGCGUUUAAAUUGUUCUCCAAUCGUUGGCACUUGACAGGCACUAAGUUCUUCAUCCCUAUGCAUGGAUGUGGUCAAGAUGGUGGUAGAUCGUUAUGCCACUCACGUGGCAAGCUUUUAUUAUAUAUAAUAUUUAUAUGGAGGUAAGAGACACAAGGUGAACCCAUGAGCUACUUUGUUUUUGUUUUUUAGAAGUGAGACAGAGUAUACCCAUGUGAUGCUGUAUACCCAAGUUAGUUAGAAUAUGAAGCUAAUUACUCUUUUGUUUGUCUGUAGAAAUUGUGACAGCCCAUUUAUAGUUUCUCCAUAUUCUUGUCGUUUUUGUUUCGAUGCGUCAAAACUGUAUUGUUUUGGGUAUCAUUUAUUUACCUAAUGCAAAACCUGGUUCACUUUUA
Humulus lupulus (European hop) is the source of this 2328-nucleotide RNA transcript. It is a transcript of the gene named putative lipase ROG1, with no coding region annotated. Lineage: Eukaryota; Viridiplantae; Streptophyta; Magnoliopsida; Rosales; Cannabaceae. The transcript is spliced from 11 exons. The record is from RefSeq and is a predicted model, not a curated record.